This 429-nucleotide ribosomal RNA is filed under the name Verrucomicrobiota bacterium. Its description in RNAcentral is "Verrucomicrobia bacterium partial 16S ribosomal RNA". It matches the Rfam family "Bacterial small subunit ribosomal RNA", at positions 355 to 776 of the family's 1533-position model. Lineage: Bacteria; Pseudomonadati; Verrucomicrobiota. The record is from RNAcentral.
UAGGGAAUCUUCCGCAAUGGACGAAAGUCUGACGGAGCAACGCCGCGUGAGUGAAGAAGGAUUUCGGUUCGUAAAACUCUGUUGUUAGGGAAGAAAAAAUGUAUAGUAACUAUAUACAAAAGAGACGGUACCUAACCAGAAAGCCACGGCUAACUACGUGCCAGCAGCCGCGGUAAUACGUAGGUGGCAAGCGUUGUCCGGAAUUAUUGGGCGUAAAGCGCGCGCAGGUGGUUUAGAAAGUCUGAUGUGAAAGCCCACGGCUCAACCGUGGAGGGUCAUUGGAAACUAAUAAACUUGAGUGCAGGAUAGAAAAGUGGAAUUCCUAGUGUAGCGGUGAAAUGCGUAGAGAUUAGGAGGAACACCGGUGGCGAAAGCGGCUUUUUGGCCUGCAACUGACACUGAGGCGCGAAAGCGUGGGGAGCAAACAGG